RNAcentral lists this ribosomal RNA (255 nucleotides) under uncultured bacterium. RNAcentral describes it as "partial 16S ribosomal RNA". It matches the Rfam family "Bacterial small subunit ribosomal RNA", at positions 57 to 305 of the family's 1533-position model. The record is from RNAcentral.
GCAAGUCGAACGAGAACGGGUAUUAGCUUGCUAAUACUGUCAGCUAAGUGGCGCACGGGUGAGUAAUAUAUAGUUAAUCUGCCCCAAAGAAGAGAAUAAUUGUUGGAAACGACUUGUAAUGCUCUAUAUGCCUUUAUUACAAAAGUAAGCAAGGGAAACAUUUAUGGCUUUGGGAUGAGACUGUACGGUAUCAGUUAGUUGGUGAGGUAAUGGCUCACCAAGACAAUGACGCCUAACUGGUUUGAGAGGAUGAUC